GCCGGGGUGGCGGAACAGGCAGACGCUGGGGACUUAAAAUCCCCUGGGCCCCGUGCCCGUGCGGGUUCGAUUCCCGCCCCCGGCA
Molecule: transfer RNA, 85 nt
Filed under: Candidatus Latescibacterota bacterium
Lineage: Bacteria; Pseudomonadati; Candidatus Latescibacterota
Description: tRNA-Leu
Rfam family: tRNA
About the family: Transfer RNA (tRNA) molecules are approximately 80 nucleotides in length.
Source: RNAcentral